AGCGGCGGACGGGUGAGUAAUGCGUAGGAAUCUACCCUUUUGUGGGGGAUAGCCCGGAGAAAUCCGGAUUAAUACCGCAUAAGCUCUUCGGAGGAAAGUGGGGGAUCUUCGGACCUCACGCUGAAGGAUGAGCCUACGUUGGAUUAGCUUGUUGGUGGGGUAAAGGCCUACCAAGGCGACGAUCCAUAGCUGGUCUGAGAGGAUGAUCAGCCACACCGGGACUGAGACACGGCCCGGACUCCUACGGGAGGCAGCAGUGGGGAAUAUUGGACAAUGGGCGCAAGCCUGAUCCAGCCAUGCCGCGUGUGUGAAGAAGGCUCUAGGGUUGUAAAGCACUUUAAGCAGGGAAGAAACGCUGUUGGUUAAUAACCAUCAGUACUGACGGUACCUGCAGAAUAAGCACCGGCUAACUCCGUGCCAGCAGCCGCGGUAAUACGGAGGGUGCAAGCGUUAAUCGGAUUUACUGGGCGUAAAGCGUGCGUAGGCGGCUACGUAAGUCAGUUGUGAAAGCCCCGGGCUUAACCUGGGAACUGCAAUUGAUACUGCGUGGCUAGAAUUCGGUAGAGGAAGGUGGAACUCCAGGUGUAGCGGGUGAAUGCGUAGAUAUCUGGGAGAUCAUCAAUGGCGAAGGCAUCCUUCUGGUCUGAGUGACGCUGAGGUACGAAGCGUUGAGAGCAAACAGGAAUAGAUACCCUGGUUGUUC
Molecule: ribosomal RNA, 703 nt
Filed under: uncultured bacterium
Lineage: Bacteria
Description: bacterial SSU rRNA
Rfam family: Bacterial small subunit ribosomal RNA
Source: RNAcentral